GAUGAACGCUGGCGGCGUGCCUAAUACAUGCAAGUCGAGCGAACAGAUAAGGAGCUUGCUCCUUUGACGUUAGCGGCGGACGGGUGAGUAACACGUGGGUAACCUACCUAUAAGACUGGAAUAACUCCGGGAAACCGGGGCUAAUGCCGGAUAACAUUUAGAACCGCAUGGUUCUAAAGUGAAAGAUGGUUUUGCUAUCACUUAUAGAUGGACCCGCGCCGUAUUAGCUAGUUGGUAAGGUAACGGCUUACCAAGGCAACGAUACGUAGCCGACCUGAGAGGGUGGUCGGCCACACUGGAACUGAGACACGGUCCAGACUCCUACGGGAGGCAGCAGUAGGGAAUCUUCCGCAAUGGGCGAAGGCCUGACGGAGCAACGCCGCGUGAGUGAUGAAGGUCUUCGGAUCGUAAAACUCUGUUAUUAGGGAAGAACAAAUGUGUAAGUAACUGUGCACGUCUUGACGGUACCUAAUCAGAAAGCCACGGCUAACUACGUG
Molecule: ribosomal RNA, 497 nt
Filed under: uncultured bacterium
Lineage: Bacteria
Description: partial 16S ribosomal RNA
Rfam family: Bacterial small subunit ribosomal RNA
Source: RNAcentral